RNAcentral lists this ribosomal RNA (400 nucleotides) under phytoplankton environmental sample. RNAcentral describes it as "partial small subunit ribosomal RNA". It matches the Rfam family "Eukaryotic small subunit ribosomal RNA", at positions 587 to 984 of the family's 1831-position model. The record is from RNAcentral.
AGCUCCAAUAGCGUAUAUUAAAGUUGUUGCAGUUAAAAAGCUCGUAGUUGGAUUCCUGGUUAGAGUGGCCGGUCUGGUCCGAAUGGGCUAGUACUUUUGAGCUGUCUUUGACCUUCCUUUGGGAGAAACUGUGUUGUUAUUCAUUUAGCAGUGCAGGGGACCCCAAUCGUUUACUGUGAAAAAAUUAGAGUGUUUAAAGCAGGCAUUUGCUGUGAAUACAUUAGCAUGGAAUAAUAAGAUAGGACUUUGGUGCUAUUUUGUUGGUUUGCACACCAAGGUAAUGAUUAACAGGGACAGUUGGGGGUAUUCGUAUUUAAUUGUCAGAGGUGAAAUUCUUGGAUUUAUGAAAGACGAACUACUGCGAAAGCAUUUACCAAGGAUGUUUUCAUUAAUCAAGAAC